GUAGCGCUCCCACCAAUCGAGCAUGUAGAGGCCCAUGAUGGAAGAGCCUCGGAGGUCGGAGGUCGGAGUCGGAAGAGCCGAGCACGGCGAGGAAAGAGGAGCGGUGCUGGCGUGCUGCGGUGGAGCUUGGAGAGGACUUCGGAGCACUGAGAACCGAGCUUCCGAGUCUGCUGAGAACCAGAGAACGGGAGUCGGGAGAUUGGAAUUUGGGAGAAGGUUCACCAUCACUGGUUCAGCAAUAAAAAAGAGAGCACCGGCGGCAGAGAACUGAGAAGGGGGAGAGAUAGAGAAGGGGGAGAAAAUGCCCGUUGCUUGUCAUUUGUCAACUGCCGUAGCCGUUGCGGCAUUGCCCAGCCAGCCUGUCGUCGGGGAGACGCCGAAGGCCGAAGGGGAUGCACUGUAGCGGCGUCGCGUCGUCCUGGCUCCUGUCCACUGCCUAGCUACGACUAGCUUAGAAGCUAUUCAAGCUAACAGAGGAGUAGACUCAGUAGAGGACAACCCGAUAUACUAGCUCAGCGGCUCAGCCUAUGCAUUAAAUUAAAAAAAAAAAAAGUGCGGUGGGAUGGGGCCUUCCCUGGGUCGGGGGCCUUAGGCGACCGCCUCAGUCGCCUAAGGCCCGAGCCGCCCCUG
Molecule: long non-coding RNA, 630 nt
Filed under: Phoenix dactylifera (date palm)
Lineage: Eukaryota; Viridiplantae; Streptophyta; Magnoliopsida; Arecales; Arecaceae
Description: long non-coding RNA (PDAC_LNC019057)
Source: RNAcentral